Brassica napus (rape) is the source of this 1147-nucleotide RNA transcript. RefSeq lists it as uncharacterized. Lineage: Eukaryota; Viridiplantae; Streptophyta; Magnoliopsida; Brassicales; Brassicaceae. The record is from RefSeq and is a predicted model, not a curated record. The transcript has 5 exons.
UAUGAAACACCUUAAAUUAUAAAAUUUCAAAUUGUAUUUGUUUUUUUUUACAAACACCUAAAUAUGUGGAUUUAUUAUAUUGAUUGGUCUUUGUUACCGUUUUAUAUUUGUAACUCAUUUUUAAUUUUAUUUGAACACACUUAAUAUACAUUCUAUAUUAUGUUAUUUUUAUAUCAGGGUCAUAUGUGUAUAUAUGGUCAAUAAAGUGAUAGAUACAUAAAAGUACAAAUCUUAUUAUGUAUUAAUCUGCUGAACAAAAUAUGUACUAAUACUAAAGUAAUUAUUUACAUGUGUCUUGUAUCUCUCGUGAAACAUGACAGUACUUCUAAGAGCACCAUUAUUCGAGUUUCUUAGUAGGGUUUUUAAAGAAAAUUAGGCAUUUAAUUAAAUGGAAAACAGAUUAAAUUUGUAUAACCGGCUCUUAUUUCAUGCCUUUUGUAACCGAUUAGAAAGAAGUUUCUUAGUACAAGUGUCGGCCAACCAAGAAAUUUUGUUUUUUUUUCCUUUUUUUUUUUCUUUUUUUCUUUCUUUUCUCUCCUCUUCUCUCCUUUCUCUCGUGUUCUCUGUCGAGACAACGACGAUCGCUUUUGUUCGAUCGGCGUCUCCUCCGUUCGAUCGAAUCGGCGUCUCCUCCCAUCUCCUCUUUCUUCUAACCGGGAGGAGGGACAUGGAGUUCGAUCCAUCUCGACUCAAGUUGAUACUUGUCAACAAGCCUUUACCCAAGUUGCGUUCCAAAGGAAUCCCACGAUACAAAGUUCUUUUUCUGACGAAUCUGAAGGUGGUAUGAGGGACUCCAUUGAUGUAUCUUCUCAUAAUUCAGAUGUAUAUGGCGCAUCAUGUUCUUCAGACGAGUCAAAUGCUCCAACAACCAAAGAUAUUGAAGCUGAAAUGAGAAGGCUGAAUCAUUUGUUCAUUGGGAGCAGUGGGCGUGAUGAAGUCAUCCGUGUGUUGUGGUCUUCUGUUGUCUUGUGGUGAAGUCACAUGUCACGCUUACUUUGCUGUGUUGAUUGGAACAACUUGUGUUCUUGUAUCACGGAAUUGAGUCACGGAAAUGGACAUGUUUUUGUUGUUUUCUUGUUGCAUUGUCUUUAAAAUACAAUCUUGUAAUGAAAGUGUAUUCUCAACAAGCCUUUGUUCUUCCUUCUUC